GACGAACGCUGGCGGCGUGCUUAACACAUGCCAGUCGAACGGAAAGGCCCUGCUUUUGUGGGGUGCUCGAGUGGCGAACGGGUGAGUAACACGUGAGUAACCUGCCCUUGACUUUGGGAUAACUUCAGGAAACUGGGGCUAAUACCGGAUAGGAGCUCCUGCUGCAUGGUGGGGGUUGGAAAGUUUCGGCGGUUGGGGAUGGACUCGCGGCUUAUCAGCUUGUUGGUGGGGUAGUGGCUUACCAAGGCUGUGACGGGUAGCCGGCCUGAGAGGGUGACCGGCCACAUUGGGACUGAGAGACGGCCGAGACUGCUACGGGAGGCAGCAGUGGGGAAUAUUGCACAAUGGGCGGAAGCCUGAUGCAGCAACGCCGCGUGCGGGAUGACGGCCUUCGGGUUGUAAACCGCUUUCGCCUGUGACGAAGCGUGAGUGACGGUAACGGGUAAAGAAGCACCGGCUAACUACGUG
This 468-nucleotide ribosomal RNA is filed under the name uncultured bacterium. RNAcentral describes it as "partial 16S ribosomal RNA". It matches the Rfam family "Bacterial small subunit ribosomal RNA", at positions 28 to 507 of the family's 1533-position model. The record is from RNAcentral.